UUGGUGCGAUGAACGAUCGCGUCUAUACGAGGAAAGUCCGAGCUGCUCUAAGACAUGGUUCCAUCUAACGGAUGGCUAGGGCAACCUAAGGGAUAGUGCAACAGAAAGGAAACUACCGCUAUUUUUGGCGGAAAAGGUGAAAGGGUAGGGUAAGAGCCUACCAGCGUUUUUGGUAACAAUAACGGCUAUGUAAACCCAACCUGCAGCAAGAAGGGAUGGUUUUUGUCUUAGUAUGAUAAACCCUUCGCUUGAGCUAAAUUGCAAAAUUUAGCCUAGAUAAAUGAUCGUUUGAAAAACAGAACUCGGCUUACAGUCGCACCAGAUUC
Molecule: RNase P RNA, 326 nt
Filed under: Campylobacteraceae bacterium
Lineage: Bacteria; Pseudomonadati; Campylobacterota; Epsilonproteobacteria; Campylobacterales; Campylobacteraceae
Description: RNase P RNA component class A
Rfam family: Bacterial RNase P class A
About the family: Ribonuclease P (RNase P) is a ubiquitous endoribonuclease, found in archaea, bacteria and eukarya as well as chloroplasts and mitochondria.
Source: RNAcentral